GAUCCUGGCUCAGGAUGAACGCUAGCUACAGGCUUAACACAUGCAAGUCGAGGGGCAGCAUGGUUUUAGCUUGCUAAGGCCGAUGGCGACCGGCGCACGGGUGAGUAACACGUAUCCAACCUGCCGUCUACUCUUGGACAGCCUUCUGAAAGGAAGAUUAAUACAAGAUGGCAUCAUUAGUUCACAUGUUCACUAUGAAUUAAAGGUAUUACCGGUAGACGAGUGGGGAUGG
This 232-nucleotide ribosomal RNA is filed under the name uncultured bacterium. RNAcentral describes it as "partial 16S ribosomal RNA". It matches the Rfam family "Bacterial small subunit ribosomal RNA", at positions 15 to 234 of the family's 1533-position model. The record is from RNAcentral.